UCGACCUGCAGGCGGCCGCGAAUUCACUAGUGAUUAGAGUUUGAUCAUGGCUCAGGAUGAACGCUGGCGGCGUGCCUAACACAUGCAAGUCGUACGAUUCUGCCCCGAUUGAGACUUCGGUCGAUUUUGGGAACGGAAUAGUGGCGGACUGGUGAGUAACACAUGGGUAACCUACCCUAGAGAUCGGGAUAGCAGCUGGAAACGGCUGGUAAUACCGGAUACGUUACUCGGGCCUCAUGGCCUGGGUAAGAAAGAUGGCCUAUCCUUGGAAGCUAUCGCUCUUGGAGGGGCCCGUGGCUCAUCAGCUAGUUGGUAGGGUAACGGCCUACCAAGGCUACGAUGGGUAGCUGGUUUGAGAGGAUGAUCAGCCACACUGGGACUGAGAUACGGCCCAGACUCCUACGGGAGGCAGCAGUGAGGAAUUUUUCGCAAUGGACGCAAGUCUGACGAAGCGACGCCGCGUGGGUGAAGGAGGUUUUCGGAUCGUAAAGCCCUGUCAGGGGGAAAGAACCCUUACCA
RNAcentral lists this ribosomal RNA (519 nucleotides) under uncultured bacterium. RNAcentral describes it as "bacterial SSU rRNA". It matches the Rfam family "Bacterial small subunit ribosomal RNA", at positions 1 to 458 of the family's 1533-position model. The record is from RNAcentral.